RNAcentral lists this unclassified non-coding RNA (1753 nucleotides) under uncultured fungus. RNAcentral describes it as "sequence contains 18S rRNA gene, ITS1, 5.8S rRNA gene, ITS2, 28S rRNA gene". The stretch from base 708 to 1753 matches the Rfam family "Eukaryotic large subunit ribosomal RNA", at positions 1 to 961 of the family's 3401-position model. The record is from RNAcentral. Lineage: Eukaryota; Fungi.
GGAAGGAUCAUUAAAAAAUCUUCUGAGCCGGCAAGGCUCUAUUAUUUUGUGAAGCGUUGUCUGUGGAGAGGUUGGGGGAGUAUACUGUGAUGAUGUCGGGUAAGGUGGUCGAUGAGCUGUGUUGACGAAAAUGCCAAGGCAUUGCCGUCUUGUGCAGCUCUGGCUCCAUCCGUACCGUCCUACUUGCACACUCUCGCUGCGCCUCUCCAUAUGCAUAUUUUAAACAUAUGUCUUUGAUGUUAAGGAAUAAAUAUAUCUUAAUAUAUAUACAACUUUCAACAGUGGAUCUCUCGGCUCUUGCAAACGAUGAAGAACGCAGCGAAAUGCGAUAGGUAAUGUGAAACGCAUCACUCGUGAAACAUCAAAUCUUUGAACGCAUAUUGCACCCUCUGGUAUUCCGGAGGGUAUGCCUGUUUGAGAAUUGGAAUCCUAUCAACAACCAAGUUGUUGGAAAUGAGUGUUCGUGUGCACUGCACGCGUCGCUUGAAAUAUAGGCGCAACAGCACUAGCAAAACGCCCAAGCUGUUGGACACUCUCUAAUGCACUCAUGCUUGAAAGAGUCCUUGACUGGAAGUUUAUGUGCUGACUGUGACAAACAAGCACCACCCCUGGUGUUUGUCGAGCCAUGCUUUUGCAUGCAAGAGGAGAUUCCGUGUGGAUGCGCGCCGCCGCUAGGAUGCGACAGACCUCGGAUCGACUCCAAAACUCAAUCUCAAAUCAGGUAGGAUUACCCGCUGAACUUAAGCAUAUUAAUAAGCGGAGGAAAAGAAACUAACAAGGAUUCCCCUAGUAACGGCGAGUGAAGAGGGAAGAGCUCAAAUUUGUAAUCUGGCAGGCUACGCCUGUCCGAGUUGUAAUUUGAAGAAGCGUUUUCUGCGCUGUCGAUGGCACAAGUCCCUUGGAAAAGGGCCGCAGAGAGGGUGAAACGCCCGUCUUUGCCAAAGACAGUCGCUUUACGAUGCGCUUUCUAAGAGUCGGGUUGUUUGGGAAUGCAGCCCAAAGACGGUGGUAAAUUCCAUCUAAAGCUAAAUAUAAGCAAGAGUCCGAUAGCAAACAAGUACCGUGAGGGAAAGAUGAAAAGGACUUGAAAAGAGAGUUAAAUAGUACGUGAAACUGUUGAAAGGGAAACGCUUGAAACCAGAGGGAUGCGCUGUGAAUCAGUCGUGCAAAUUGCACGGUGCUCUUUUGCAGCGCUCAGCCAACAUCGGUUCGAGCAGCCGGAAAUUGGCCAGUGGAAGGUAGCUUGUCCUUCGGGGCAAGUGUUAUAGCCACGGCUGGUACGGCUAAUGGGACCGAGGCAAUGCGGCGUGAGCUUUGCUGCCGGCCUGGUGUCAUCGUAGCGAAGGCUGUGCAGACAGUUACUGACUGUGUGGCACUAGUGGCGAUGCGCUGGGUGCAGGACAUUCACGCCAAGGUUGUUGGCGAGUUGGUUUUAAACGACCCGUCUUGAAACACGGACCAAGGAGUCCAACAUAGAUGCGAGUAUUUGGGUGGCAAACCCGGAUGCGCAAUGAAAGUGACAAGUGGGAACUGGAUUUCCAGUGCACCAUAGGCCGAUCCAGAAGUCUCUGAUGGACGGAUUUGAGCCAGAGCAUCUCUGCUGGGACCCGAAAGAUGGUGAACUAUGCCUGAGUAGGGUGAAGCCAGAGGAAACUCUGGUGGAGGCUCGUAGCGAUUCUGACGUGCAAAUCGAUCGUAGAACUUGGGUAUAGGGGCGAAAGACUAAUCGAACCAUCUAGUAGCUGGUUCCCUC